CUGGACCGCUCACUAAGCGAGUUUCCCUCAUGAUGCCCGCUGAACUUAAGCGAAGUUUCCUUCCUGAUGACCGCUGAACUUAAGCGAAGUAUCCUCCCUCAUGACAGCGGAUGUUCUGCAACGUGUACUUCUCUCCGGGGGCGGAACAUCAUAGAGGGUGAGACUCCCGUCACUGAGCGGACUACCAGUGAAUUGUGGUAUGCUCUCAACGAGUCGAGUUGUUUGGGAAUGCAGCUCAAAAUGGGUGGUAAAUUCCAUCUAAAGCUAAAUAUUGGCGAGAGACCGAUAGCGAACAAGUACCGUGAGGGAAAGAUGAAAAGAACUUUGGAAAGAGAGUUAAACAGUACGUGAAAUUGCUGAAAGGGAAACGCUUGAAGUCAGUCGCGUUGGCCAGGGAUCAGCCUUGCUCUUGCAUGGUGUACUUUCUGGUUGACGGGUCAGCAUCAAUUUUGACCGCUGGAAAAGUUCCUGGGGAAUGUGGCAGCUCCGGCUGUGUUAUAGCCCCUGGUUGCAUACAGUGGUUGGGAUUGAGGAACUCAGCACGCCGCAAGGCCGGGUUUUUAACCACGUUCGUGCUUAGGAUGCUGGCAUAAUGGCUUUAAGCGACCCGUCUUGAAACACGGACCAAGGAGUCUAACAUGCCUGCGAGUGUUUGGGUGAUAAACCCGAGCGCGUAAUGAAAGUGAAAGUUGAGAUCCCUGUCGUGGGGAGCAUCGACGCCCGGACCAGAACUUUUGGGACGGAUCCGCGGUGGAGCAUGUAUGUUGGGACCCCAAGAUGGUGAAUUAUGCCUGACUAGGGUGAACCCAGAGGAACUCUGGUGGAGGCUCGUAUCGAUUCUGGACCUUGCUAAUCGAUUGGGCAAAUUUGGGUAUAGGGGCGAAAGACUAAUCGAACCUUCUAGCAGUUGGGUCCUGCGAAAGUCUCCCAUCAAGAUA
Molecule: ribosomal RNA, 938 nt
Filed under: Xanthagaricus pakistanicus
Lineage: Eukaryota; Fungi; Basidiomycota; Agaricomycetes; Agaricales; Agaricaceae
Description: LSU rRNA
Rfam family: Eukaryotic large subunit ribosomal RNA
Source: RNAcentral